Molecule: ribosomal RNA, 111 nt
Filed under: Tadarida brasiliensis (Brazilian free-tailed bat)
Lineage: Eukaryota; Metazoa; Chordata; Mammalia; Chiroptera; Molossidae
Description: partial 16S ribosomal RNA
Source: RNAcentral
ACGAAAGGACAAGAGAAAUAAGGCCCACUUCAAAAAAGCGCCUUAAUUGAUUAAUAGAUGAUAUUAUCUUAAUCUAAAAUCAUAUAAUAAUUCAACCCAAGAACAGGGUUU